RNAcentral lists this ribosomal RNA (538 nucleotides) under Naganishia albida. RNAcentral describes it as "eukaryotic LSU rRNA". It matches the Rfam family "Eukaryotic large subunit ribosomal RNA", at positions 114 to 657 of the family's 3401-position model. Lineage: Eukaryota; Fungi; Basidiomycota; Tremellomycetes; Filobasidiales; Filobasidiaceae. The record is from RNAcentral.
UUUGAAAUCUGGUAGCCUUCGGUUGCCCGAGUUGUAAUCUAGAGAAGUGUUUUCCGUGCCGGCCCAUGUACAAGUCCCUUGGAACAGGGCGUCAUAGAGGGUGAGAAUCCCGUCCUUGACAUGGACCCCCGGUGCUUUGUGAUACACUUUCAACGAGUCGAGUUGUUUGGGAAUGCAGCUCAAAAUGGGUGGUGAAUUCCAUCUAAAGCUAAAUAUUGGCGAGAGACCGAUAGCGAACAAGUACCGUGAGGGAAAGAUGAAAAGCACUUUGGAAAGAGAGUUAAACAGUACGUGAAAUUGUUGAAAGGGAAACGAUUGAAGUCAGUCAUGCUCUUGGGACUUACCUCCCUUGAGUGGGGUCAACAUCAGUUUUGAUCGAUGGAUAAAGGCACUAGGAAGGUAGCACUCUCGGGUGAACUUAUAGCCUAGCGUCAUAUACAUUGAUUGGGACUGAGGAACGCAGCAUGCCUUUUGGCCGGGAUUCGUCCACGUACAUGCUUAGGAUGUUGACAUAAUGGCUUUAAACGACCCGUCUUGA